CUGGCUGUGUGCCUAAUACAUGCAUGUCGAGCGAUGAUAGCAAUAUCAUAGCGGCGAAUGGGUGAGUAACACGUACUCAACGUACCUUUUAGAUUGGGAUAGCGGAUGGAAACAUCCGAUAAUACCGAAUACUUAUUAUUUUUGCAUGAAAGUAAUAUAAAAGGAAGCGUUUGCUUCGCUAAAAGAUCGGAGUGCGCAACAUUAGCUAGUUGGUGAGGUAACGGCCCACCAAGGCGAUGAUGUUUAGCGGGGUUGAGAGAUUGAUCCGCCACACUGGGACUGAGAUACGGCCCAGACUCCUACGGGAGGCAGCAGUAGGGAAUAUUCCACAAUGGACGAAAGUCUGAUGGAGCGACACAGCGUGCAGGAUGAAGGCCCUAUGGGUUGUAAACUGCUGUGGUUAGGGAAGAAAAAGUAGCAUAGGAAAUGAUGCUACCUUGACGGUACCUGAUUAGAAAGCAACGGCUAACUAUGUGCCAGCAGCCGCGGUAAUACAUAGGUUGCAAGCGUUAUCCGAAAUUAUUGGGCGUAAAGCGUCUGUAGGUUGUUUGUUAAGUCUGGCGUUAAAUUUUGGGGCUCAACCCCAAAACGCGUUGGAUACUGGCAGACUAGAGUUAUGUAGAGGUUAGCGGAAUUCCUUGUGAAGCGGUGAAAUGCGUAGAUAUAAGGAAGAACAUCAAUAUGGCGAAGGCAGCUAACUGGGCAUACACUGACACUGAGAGACGAAAGCGUGGGGAGCAAACAGGAUUAGAUACCCUGGUAGUCCACGCCCUAAACGAUGAUCAUUAGUUGAUGGGGAACUCAUCGACGCAGCUAACGCAUUAAAUGAUCCGCCUGAGUAGUACGUUCGCAAGAAUAAAACUUAAAGGAAUUGACGGGGAUCCGCACAAGCGGUGGAGCAUGUGGUUUAAUUUGAAGAUACGCGUAGAACCUUACCCACUCUUGACAUCUUCUGCAAAGCUAURGAGACAUAGUGGAGGUUAACAGAAUGACAGAUGGUGCAUGGUUGUCGUCAGCUCGUGUCGUGAGAUGUUCGGUUAAGUCCUGCAACGAGCGCAACCCUUAUCCUUAGUUACUACCAUUUAGUUGAGCACUCUAARGAGACUGCCCGAGUAAUCGGGAGGAAGGUGGGGACGACGUCAAAUCAUCAUGCCUCUUACGAGUGGGGCUACACACGUGCUACAAUGGACGGUACAAAGAGAAGCGAAGUGGURACAUGGAGCAAACCUCAAAAAACCGUUCUCAGUUCGGAUUGAAGUCUGCAACUCGACUUCAUGAAGUCGGAAUCGCUAGUAAUCGUAGAUCAGCUACGCUACGGUGAAUACGUUCUCGGGUCUUGUACACACCGCCCGUCAAACCAUGGGAGCUGGUAAUGCCCGAAGUCGGUUUAUAAAGAAACUGCCUAAGGCAGGACUGGUGACUGGGGUUAAGUCGUAACAAGGUAUCCCUACGAGAAC
Molecule: ribosomal RNA, 1457 nt
Filed under: Mycoplasmopsis bovis
Lineage: Bacteria; Bacillati; Mycoplasmatota; Mycoplasmoidales; Metamycoplasmataceae
Description: bacterial SSU rRNA
Rfam family: Bacterial small subunit ribosomal RNA
Source: RNAcentral